ACGGCGUAGUCGAUGAGGGUCUUGCCGCUCAGGCUGGUGGCGAUGCCCGUCAAGGCGGCGACGGCGUUGUGCCCGUCGAUGCCGUU
RNAcentral lists this transfer RNA (86 nucleotides) under Streptomyces spectabilis. RNAcentral's name for it is "tRNA-Leu". The record is from RNAcentral. Lineage: Bacteria; Bacillati; Actinomycetota; Actinomycetes; Kitasatosporales; Streptomycetaceae.